UACGUAGGGUGCGAGCGUUAAUCGGAAUUACUGGGCGUAAAGCGUGCGCAGGCGGUUGUGCAAGACAGAGGUGAAAUCCCCGGGCUUAACCUGGGAACUGCCUUUGUGACUGCACGGCUAGAGUGUGUCAGAGGGGGGUAGAAUUCCACGUGUAGCAGUGAAAUGCGUAGAUAUGUGGAGGAAUACCGAUGGCGAAGGCAGCCCCCUGGGAUAACACUGACGCUCAUGCACGAAAGCGUGGGGAGCAAGCAGG
RNAcentral lists this ribosomal RNA (253 nucleotides) under uncultured bacterium. RNAcentral describes it as "partial 16S ribosomal RNA". It matches the Rfam family "Bacterial small subunit ribosomal RNA", at positions 524 to 776 of the family's 1533-position model. The record is from RNAcentral.